This 468-nucleotide ribosomal RNA is filed under the name uncultured bacterium. RNAcentral's name for it is "partial 16S ribosomal RNA". It matches the Rfam family "Bacterial small subunit ribosomal RNA", at positions 28 to 507 of the family's 1533-position model. The record is from RNAcentral.
GACGAACGCUGGCGGCGUGCUUAACACAUGCAAGUCGAACGGAAAGGCCCUGCUUUUGUGGGGUGCUCGAGUGGCGAACGGGUGAGUAACACGUGAGUAACCUGCCCUUGACUUUGGGAUAACUUCAGGAAACUGGGGCUAAUACCGGAUAGGAGCUCCUGCUGCAUGGUGGGGGUUGGAAAGUUUCGGCGGUUGGGGAUGGGCUCGCGGCUUAUCAGCUUGUUGGUGGGGUAGUGGCUUACCAAGGCUUUGACGGGUAGCCGACCUGAGAGGGUGACCGGCCACAUUGGGACUGAGAUACGGCCCAGACUCCUACGGGAGGCAGCAGUGGGGAAUAUUGCACAAUGGGCGGAAGCCUGAUGCAGCAACGCCGCGUGCGGGAUGACGGCCUUCGGGUUGUAAACCGCUUUCGCCUGUGACGAAGCGUGAGUGACGGUAAUGGGUAAAGAAGCACCGGCUAACUACGUG